UUCCUUUCAGGACUUCAUAGUCUAGCAUAGCUUCAUUCAAGCUGUGCUACCAUCACACAGAGAGUAGACUUGAACAAUGAAGAGUACCAAGAGAUGAAAAUUUUAAAUAAUUUAUUUGGACUUCGCAACUAUUUUACAACACAACAAACAAAAAACUUGGUACAGCUCCGGCCUCGCAGUCAUAGACUCGUAAACACGUAAAACAAAGUAUAACUUCAACUUCUAAACUUCUCGGAUACAUUUGGCAGCAUGUGUGUGACCAUCGUGGCUAAGAAAAGAGGUGAAACUGUAAGAGCUUCAAAAAAUAUCAGACCUUUCAGUUCCCGGUUACUAUAGAAUUUGGCAAGCCAAAGAUGUGCUGUCCACCUUUGAAAAUUUGUCUACAACAGAGGACCAGCAAAUGAGGUUGCACACUUCACUUGCCAGAAGUUCCCUUUUUGCCCUUGCGACGUACGUGGUUGGUGUUGGCACCCCGGACAGAUUUCCUUGCCUUUUUACGGGAUAUGCCACAGCAAGAGCAAAGAUUGAACAAUAUUAACAUGGGUAAGGCCAGUAAUGCCGAAUCCCAAAGCCACUCGAACUCUUUAGUAG
Molecule: unclassified non-coding RNA, 591 nt
Filed under: Hevea brasiliensis (rubber tree)
Lineage: Eukaryota; Viridiplantae; Streptophyta; Magnoliopsida; Malpighiales; Euphorbiaceae
Source: RNAcentral